Molecule: long non-coding RNA, 1455 nt
Organism: Carassius auratus (goldfish)
Lineage: Eukaryota; Metazoa; Chordata; Actinopteri; Cypriniformes; Cyprinidae
Exons: 4
Source: RefSeq, a predicted model, not a curated record
UCUUCAUAGACAUAAACAGAGAGAAGUAGUUCCGGCUACGAUGUUCUUCCGCAAGACGCAAGCAGUUAUGUUUAUUAACCGCUAGAGCGUCAAAAGUAACCGACUGCAACUUUAAAUGGACGGCUGUUGACAUUUAGUGUGAGUGUAGCACUAUAAAAUCAACGUGAAUAGCAUGGUACAGAUUAUUUAUUCUUUUUAUUCAAACUUAGCUAUCUUGAUAUCAUACAGUAGAAUUCUUCCUAAUCAAAACAAAGAUUGUGUGGAGUUGUUCAGCGGCCUCCCUGAGGUGAAAGGCCGACUGUGUUUGGUUUGAGUGAGAGGACCAGACAAUCAUACGAGCGUUGCGUUUAGAUUUGCAUGGACAUUUUAGAUGGUGGGAGAGUACGACAGGUUAGACGUCCACCUCUUCUCCUAUCAUGUGUCCUGAUCUCAUAAUAUUUAAACCUGUGAAACACUGCACAAGAUGCUAGGGUUAACAUGGAGUGCCAUCACUGAUAUGCCUGCUUGUUUGCCAUGGCUCAUGUGCCUGGAAUGUGUCGCUAAAAUGCAAGGAGGACACAACGGCAUUCCUUAUGGAAUUACAGAAAGAGGCUCCAAGCAAAUAUGCAGUCUUGAGACAGGGUGGAGUACUUAGCGGGUGUUUUUGUUCCAGACUCUUGUACAGAAUCAGAAAUCCAGACGCUAGUUUUUUAUGAGGCCUUUGAGCAGAAACAAAUCUCUUUGCUUUCUUCUGUGCCUUCAAUCCUGAUGUCGGAUUCCACUUUUGCAUAUUCAUAAAUCACUGCCUCAGUGAUUCCCCUCAUGCAGAACUGUCUGUGAUAGUCUGCCUCUCUACCUGUUUCUGGUUCACCUGCUGUUGACAAUCUCUGUAGGUUACAUAUUAACUGGGCUAAAUGAAAAGCUGUAUCUCUUCCUUCGGAAGCAGUCCCGCUCCUUUACCUUAAAACUGGAAGAUGAAGAGAAGAUUUAAAAAGAAGAGUGAAAUAUAUUUAUAUAUUUAAGAGAAACAAGAAGAUUUUAAGUACAGUGUAAUUAUUCAUUCUUUUUCUCCGGUUUUCUUAUUUCAUUCUGUUUAAAAGCUGUAGAUUGCUGUUUAUGAACCGUGAACAGACCUGUGGUGUUCUUAUUUGAAUGCAUUAAAUAAAUGAUUUGAUGUACAGAAUUAACAGAUGAACUAAAGUUUAUUAGUGUGUGUUGUCAUAUAGUGACACUGCCUGUUUUUAGUAACUCACAGAAGUCAAAAACAAUGUACUGUAUUGAUACCAUAGUAUAAUGAUGACAUUUAAGGGUAACACUAUGUUACUUAAUGAUACAACAGCCUGUUUUUGAGGUAUGCAAAGGUCUCUGCAUAAAUACAAUAAUGUCAUCCAUGAGAUAAGCUUGUCACACGCAAGCCUAAAUAUACUUCAAGUGUGAGCAGCUCAUAACAAUAAAACAAUUACCAGACAUCAGUAU